CAGGAUGAACGCUAGCGGCAGGCUUAACACAUGCAAGUCGAGGGGUAGAGGCUUUCGGGCCUUGAGACCGGCGCACGGGUGCGUAACGCGUAUGCAAUCUGCCUUCCACAGAGGGAUAGCCCAGAGAAAUUUGGAUUAAUACCUCAUAGCAUCAUGACCCGGCAUCGGGAUAUGAUUAAAGUCACAACGGUGGAAGAUGAGCAUGCGUCCCAUUAGCUAGUUGGUAAGGUAACGGCUUACCAAGGCUACGAUGGGUAGGGGUCCUGAGAGGGAGAUCCCCCACACUGGUACUGAGACACGGACCAGACUCCUACGGGAGGCAGCAGUGAGGAAUAUUGGUCAAUGGGCGCAAGCCUGAACCAGCCAUGCCGCGUGCAGGAUGACGGUCCUAUGGAUUGUAAACUGCUUUUGUACGGGAAGAAACCCUCCUACGUGUAGGAGCUGAC
RNAcentral lists this ribosomal RNA (446 nucleotides) under Flavobacterium sp. LPA33. RNAcentral's name for it is "bacterial SSU rRNA". It matches the Rfam family "Bacterial small subunit ribosomal RNA", at positions 25 to 473 of the family's 1533-position model. Lineage: Bacteria; Pseudomonadati; Bacteroidota; Flavobacteriia; Flavobacteriales; Flavobacteriaceae. The record is from RNAcentral.